Molecule: unclassified non-coding RNA, 275 nt
Filed under: Hevea brasiliensis (rubber tree)
Lineage: Eukaryota; Viridiplantae; Streptophyta; Magnoliopsida; Malpighiales; Euphorbiaceae
Source: RNAcentral
UUUAUAUUUAUGCUUUCCUCAUGUGGCGUUUAUAAUCUCAACAGAGGCUCUGUACACAAAGCUCCACAUUAAGUAUGAUGCUGUAAAGAAGAAAAAAAUUUCUGAAUUGGAUGAGAUCAACAAAGAUCAAGAAGUAUAGUUUUUGAAUUACAUGACAGCUGCAGAAGAGCUGAUACAACAUUUGAAAGUUGAAAAUGACAGGUUGCAUGAACAAGUUAGUGAAUUGAGAAACCAAGUUGUUUCAAUCAGGCAUAGAUUUCCUUUUUUUUUUUUUU